This 404-nucleotide ribosomal RNA is filed under the name uncultured Sedimentibacter sp. Its description in RNAcentral is "bacterial SSU rRNA". It matches the Rfam family "Bacterial small subunit ribosomal RNA", at positions 356 to 774 of the family's 1533-position model. The record is from RNAcentral. Lineage: Bacteria; Bacillati; Bacillota; Tissierellia.
GGGGAAUAUUGCACAAUGGAGGAAACUCUGAUGCAGCGACGCCGCGUGAGUGAAGAAGGUCUUCGGAUCGUAAAACUCUGUCCUUGGUGACGAAAAAAAUGACGGUAGCCAAGGAGGAAGCCCCGGCUAACUACGUGCCAGCAGCCGCGGUAAUACGUAGGGGGCGAGCGUUGUCCGGAAUGACUGGGCGUAAAGGGCGCGUAGACGGUUUUUUAAGUCUGGAGUGAAAGUCCUGCUUUCAAGGUGGGAAUUGCUUUGGAGACUGGAAGGCUUGAGUGCGGAAGAGGUAAGUGGAAUUCCCAGUGUAGCGGUGAAAUGCGUAGAGAUUGGGAAGAACACCAGUGGCGAAGGCGACUUACUGGGCCGUAACUGACGUUGAUGCGCGAAAGCGUGGGGAGCGAACA